Molecule: ribosomal RNA, 638 nt
Filed under: fungal endophyte
Lineage: Eukaryota; Fungi
Description: eukaryotic LSU rRNA
Rfam family: 5.8S ribosomal RNA (bases 194-347)
Source: RNAcentral
GGAUCAUUACGAAAAGGAGUAUUCGUACUCUUAAACCCUUUGUGAACCUUACCUAUCGUCAGUUGCUUCGGCGGGAGGCCCCUGGGAGGGGCCCCGGGGCCCGGCCUGAGCCGGGCUCCCGCCGGAGGAGCGCAAACCAAACUCUUGCUGUACCUCAGUGGAACAUCCGAGUCAAAACAAAUAAACAAGUUAAAACUUUCAACAACGGAUCUCUUGGUUCUGGCAUCGAUGAAGAACGCAGCGAAAUGCGAUAAGUAAUGUGAAUUGCAGAAUUCAGUGAAUCAUCGAAUCUUUGAACGCACAUUGCGCCCGCCAGUAUUCUGGCGGGCAUGCCUGUUCGAGCGUCAUUUCAACCACUCAGGCCCUGGUGCCUGGCGUCGGGGUGUUCCGCCUCACGGCGGAAGCCCCUAGAGACAGUGGCGGACCCGCCGCGGCUCCGAGCGCAGUAGUAAAAUAUCUCGCUAUGGAGGUCCGCGGGGGGGCUUACCGGCCGUAAAAACUUUCUUCGGAAAUUUCUCAAGGUUGACCUCGGAUCAGGUAGGAAUACCCGCUGAACUUAAGCAUAUCAAUAAGCGGAGGAAAAGAAACCAACAGGGAUUGCCCCAGUAACGGCGAGUGAAGCGGCAACAGCUCAGAUU